AGCUCUGAUGUUUUUUUCCUUCUCCUCGGAUUACAGCCUCAACACGUUGGCCCCGACUCCGCGCUUUCACCCCCAGGUACCCAUUGAUGCCAUCACGCCCACCCGCGACACUUUUGUCCGCCCUGACUUCCAAAAAUUAAUGUGCUGAGUGCAAAGCACUGUUGCGAAGGACCGUCCCACCUCCAGUUGACCAGAACAUAGUGAGAUCCUCCACGUGACAUGUGACAUCUUAAUAUCAUACUGGAGUCUUCUCCCCAGUUUAACUGAUUAGAGUCUGGGGGCAGCCUCUCCUUACACUUCUCCAAACCAUUUUCCUAUAAUGAAUGGAUUUAAUGAAA
Molecule: long non-coding RNA, 338 nt
Organism: Ornithorhynchus anatinus (platypus)
Lineage: Eukaryota; Metazoa; Chordata; Mammalia; Monotremata; Ornithorhynchidae
Exons: 2
Source: RefSeq, a predicted model, not a curated record